This 73-nucleotide transfer RNA is filed under the name Geobacillus stearothermophilus. Its description in RNAcentral is "tRNA-Ala". It matches the Rfam family "tRNA". Rfam says of the family: Transfer RNA (tRNA) molecules are approximately 80 nucleotides in length. Their secondary structure includes four short double-helical elements and three loops (D, anti-codon, and T loops). Further hydrogen bonds mediate the characteristic L-shaped molecular structure. tRNAs have two regions of fundamental functional importance: the anti-codon, which is responsible for specific mRNA codon recognition, and the 3' end, to which the tRNAs corresponding amino acid is attached (by aminoacyl-tRNA synthetases). tRNAs cope with the degeneracy of the genetic code in two manners: having more than one tRNA (with a specific anti-codon) for a particular amino acid; and 'wobble' base-pairing, i.e. permitting non-standard base-pairing at the 3rd anti-codon position. Lineage: Bacteria; Bacillati; Bacillota; Bacilli; Caryophanales; Anoxybacillaceae. The record is from RNAcentral.
GGGGCCUUAGCUCAGCUGGGAGAGCGCCUGCUUUGCACACAGGAGGUCAUCGGUUCGAUCCCGAUAGGCUCCA